CAGAGGGGCAAGCGUUGUUCGGAAUUACUGGGCGUAAAGGGCGCGUAGGCGGCCUGCUAAGUCGAACGUGAAAUCCCUGGGCUCAACCCAGGAACUGCGUCCGAUACUGGUUGGCUUGAAUCCGGGAGAGGGAUGUGGAAUUCCAGGUGUAGCGGUGAAAUGCGUAGAUAUCUGGAGGAACACCGGUGGCGAAGGCGACAUCCUGGACCGGCAUUGACGCUGAGGCGCGAAAGCCAGGGGAGCAAACGGGAUUAGAUACCCCGGUAGUCCUGGCCCUAAACGAUGAAUGCUUGGUGUGGUGGGUAUCGAUCCCUACCGUGCCGAAGCUAACGCAUUAAGCAUUCCGCCUGGGGAGUACGGUCGCAAGGCUG
Molecule: ribosomal RNA, 371 nt
Filed under: uncultured organism
Description: bacterial SSU rRNA
Rfam family: Bacterial small subunit ribosomal RNA
Source: RNAcentral